RNAcentral lists this ribosomal RNA (371 nucleotides) under uncultured organism. RNAcentral describes it as "bacterial SSU rRNA". It matches the Rfam family "Bacterial small subunit ribosomal RNA", at positions 526 to 896 of the family's 1533-position model. The record is from RNAcentral.
CGUAGGGGCUAGCGUUGUCCGGAAUCAUUGGGCGUAAAGAGCGUGUAGGCGGCCCGGUAAGUCCGCUGUGAAAGUCAAAGGCUCAACCUUUGAAUGUCAGCGGAUACUGCCGGGCUAGAGUCCGGAAGAGGCGAGUGGAAUUCCUGGUGUAGCGGUGGAAUGCGCAGAUAUCAGGAGGAACACCAACGGCGAAGGCAGCUCGCUGGGACGGUACUGACGCUGAGACGCGAAAGCGUGGGGAGCGAACAGGAUUAGAUACCCUGGUAGUCCACGCCGUAAACGAUGGGCACUAGGUGUGGGAGGUGUCGACUCCUCCCGUGCCGGCGCUAACGCAUUAAGUGCCCCGCCUGGGGAGUACGGCCGCAAGGCUA